GAGGGGUGAACCGGCCCAGGUCG
RNAcentral lists this non-coding RNA (23 nucleotides) under Cricetulus griseus (Chinese hamster). The record is from RNAcentral. Lineage: Eukaryota; Metazoa; Chordata; Mammalia; Rodentia; Cricetidae.